This 397-nucleotide transfer RNA is filed under the name uncultured Microcystis sp. Its description in RNAcentral is "partial contains 16S-23S ribosomal RNA intergenic spacer, and 23S ribosomal RNA". The stretch from base 135 to 208 matches the Rfam family "tRNA". The record is from RNAcentral. Lineage: Bacteria; Bacillati; Cyanobacteriota; Cyanophyceae; Chroococcales; Microcystaceae.
AAGGGAGACCUAAUUCAGGUAGGAGACGAAAAAAAAGUAGUCGCUACCAAGAAUCAAUCCCAAAAGGUCGGAGCGAGGCGAAAUUGGCUUUCAAACUAGGUUCUGGGUUCAAACAAGACCUGAAUCAGGAACAAGGGCUAUUAGCUCAGGUGGUUAGAGCGCACCCCUGAUAAGGGUGAGGUCCCUGGUUCGAGUCCAGGAUGGCCCACCUGCACAGGUGGCAAAAACAAAGAAGCUCCGAAUCAGCACCUUAUCUUACUUAUAUAGUAAGAGAGAAUGCUGGCUCUGAGUUCAGAGUCCAGAGGAACCUUGAAAACUGCAUAGAGCUAGGUGAAAAAGCCAAAAAAGAAGACCGCAAGGUCAAGCUAAUAAGGGCUAACGGUGGAUACCUAGGCAC